RNAcentral lists this ribosomal RNA (399 nucleotides) under Triticum aestivum (bread wheat). RNAcentral's name for it is "partial small subunit ribosomal RNA". The record is from RNAcentral. Lineage: Eukaryota; Viridiplantae; Streptophyta; Magnoliopsida; Poales; Poaceae.
GUUGUUUCGUAUGCCUCGCGACAACUAAAACCUCACGAGUUGAAUUAUGCCACGCAUGAUUUGGAGCUAGCAGCCGUAGUGCAUGCGUUGAGGACUUGGAGGCAUUACCUUAUUGGAAACCAUUGUGAUGUGUACACGGAUCAUAAGAGUUUGAAGUACAUUUUCACACAAAAGGAGCUGAACCUUAGGCAGAGGAGAUGGUUGGAGCUUAUAAAGGAUUAUGACAUGAAGCUGCACUAUCAUCCAGGAAAGGCCAAUGUCGUAGCAGACGCUUUGAGCCGGAAGAGUUAUGCUAAUAUCCUUGCGAGUAAGGGAGUGCCAAAGGAGUUAGCAGAGGAUAUCAUGGAACUUCGAUUAGAGAUUGUCCCAAGAGGUUUUGUUACAACAAUGGAGGUUUAG